This is a non-coding RNA of Ceratotherium simum simum (southern white rhinoceros), 96 nucleotides long. Lineage: Eukaryota; Metazoa; Chordata; Mammalia; Perissodactyla; Rhinocerotidae. The record is from RefSeq and is a predicted model, not a curated record.
UCACCAGAUGACCAUAAACAGCCAUGUAUCGCUUAACAAUGGGAACACAUUCUGAGAAAUGCAUCGUUAGGCGAUUUCGUUGUUGUGUGAACAUCA